CAGCAGUAGCCGCGGGAACACCGAGGGUGCAAGCGUUAAUCGGAAUUACUGGGCGUAAAGCGCGCGUAGGUGGUUUGUUAAGUUGGAUGUGAAAUCCCCGGGCUCAACCUGGGAACUGCAUCCAAAACUGGCAAGCUAGAGUAUGGUAGAGGGUGGUGGAAUUUCCUGUGUAGCGGUGAAAUGCGUAGAUAUAGGAAGGAACACCAGUGGCGAAGGCGACCACCUGGACUGAUACUGACACUGAGGUGCGAAAGCGUGGGGAGCAAACAGGAUUAGAUACCCGCGUAGUCCCUGUCUCUUAUAC
Molecule: ribosomal RNA, 304 nt
Filed under: uncultured bacterium
Lineage: Bacteria
Description: partial 16S ribosomal RNA
Rfam family: Bacterial small subunit ribosomal RNA
Source: RNAcentral